This is a long non-coding RNA of Diospyros lotus (date-plum), 360 nucleotides long. RefSeq lists it as uncharacterized. The transcript has 3 exons. NCBI's taxonomy places the organism in Eukaryota, Viridiplantae, Streptophyta, Magnoliopsida, Ericales, Ebenaceae. The record is from RefSeq and is a predicted model, not a curated record.
GUACCAUUGGGAUCGACUAAGGGAGAGGAACAACCUGGUGUCGUCUCUUCAAUUUUCCGGUGUGCCGUCGCCGGAGAAGAUGACCGGAGGGUGCCUUGAGGGUUGAGACGAAGUGACUCGUGCGAAGAUCAAAGAAGGCACGCAAAUCGAGGCAUACCGAAAUAUCGCCAAAGGUGAAAGCAGUGGCGCCAAGGGAAAGAAUAUCAUCGAGAUGUAGCGGCUAUGUUUAGUUUUCGUAGGUUUUGUCCAUGAUUACGAUGUUCAGAGGUUAUGUAAUAUUUUGAUAUUUUCAUGUGAAACAUCGAUUUGGUUAUUGUAAAGGAAUUGUCGGUUAUAUAUCAUUGAGGUUUCGAUCUUGCU